This 64-nucleotide transfer RNA is filed under the name Homalogaster paloniae. RNAcentral describes it as "tRNA-Gln". The record is from RNAcentral. Lineage: Eukaryota; Metazoa; Platyhelminthes; Trematoda; Gastrodiscidae.
UAUAAUGUGGUGUUAGUUGGCAUAAUAUGUUUUGGUCAUAUAGGUGGUUUGUAGCUCAUUAUAG